This 253-nucleotide ribosomal RNA is filed under the name uncultured bacterium. Its description in RNAcentral is "partial 16S ribosomal RNA". It matches the Rfam family "Bacterial small subunit ribosomal RNA", at positions 524 to 776 of the family's 1533-position model. The record is from RNAcentral.
UACGUAGGGUGCGAGCGUUAAUCGGAAUUACUGGGCGUAAAGGGUGCGUAGGCGGGUCUUUAAGUCAGGGGUGAAAUCCUGGAGCUCAACUCCAGAACUGCCUUUGAUACUGAGGAUCUUGAGUUCGGGAGAGGUGAGUGGAACUGCGAGUGUAGAGGUGAAAUUCGUAGAUAUUCGCAAGAACACCAGUGGCGAAGGCGGCUCACUGGCCCGAUACUGACGCUGAGGCACGAAAGCGUGGGGAGCAAACAGG